RNAcentral lists this ribosomal RNA (392 nucleotides) under uncultured bacterium. Its description in RNAcentral is "bacterial SSU rRNA". It matches the Rfam family "Bacterial small subunit ribosomal RNA", at positions 28 to 420 of the family's 1533-position model. The record is from RNAcentral.
GACGAACGCUGGCGGCGUGCUUAACACAUGCAAGUCGAGCGGUAAGGCCCUUUCGGGGGUACGACGAGCGGCGAACGGGUGAGUAACGCGUGGGUGACCUGCCUCUAGCUCUGGGAUAAGCCCGGGAAACUGGGUCUAAUACUGGAUAUGACUCCAUGACGCAUGUUGUGGGGUGGAAAGCCUUGUGCGGCUAGAGAUGGGCCCGCGGCCUAUCAGCUUGUUGGUGGGGUGAUGGCCUACCAAGGCGACGACGGGUAGCCGGCCUGAGAGGGCGACCGGCCACACUGGGACUGAGAUACGGCCCAGACUCCUACGGGAGGCAGCAGUGGGGAAUCUUGCGCAAUGGGCGAAAGCCUGACGCAGCGACGCCGCGUGAGGGAUGACGGCCUGGU